This 466-nucleotide ribosomal RNA is filed under the name uncultured bacterium. RNAcentral describes it as "partial 16S ribosomal RNA". It matches the Rfam family "Bacterial small subunit ribosomal RNA", at positions 28 to 505 of the family's 1533-position model. The record is from RNAcentral.
GACGAACGCUGGCGGCGUGCUUAACACAUGCAAGUCGAACGGAAAGGCCCUGCUUUUGUGGGGUGCUCGAGUGGCGAACGGGUGAGUAACACGUGAGUAACCUGCCCUUGACUUUGGGAUAACUUCAGGAAACUGGGGCUAAUACCGGAUAGGAGCUCCUGCUGCAUGGUGGGGGUUGGAAAGUUUCGGCGGUUGGGGAUGGACUCGCGGCUUAUCAGCUUGUUGGUGGGGUAGUGGCUUACCAAGGCUUUGACGGGUAGCCGGCCUGAGAGGGUGACCGGCCACAUGGGGACUGAGAUACGGCCUAGACUCCUACGGGAGGCGGCAGUGGGGAAUAUUGCACAAUGGGCGGAAGCCUGAUGCAGCAACGCCGCGUGCGGGAUGACGGCCUUCGGGUUGUAAACCGCUUUCGCCUGUGACGAAGCGUGAGUGACGGUAAUGGGUAAAGAAGCACCGGCUAACUACG